GCGGAUGGCUGGAUGGCCGCGGGUGGCAACACCCGAGGAAAGUCCGGACUCCACAAGGCAUGGUGCCGGGUAACGCCCGGCGGGGGAAACCCUAGGGAAAGCGCCACAGAAAACAAACCGCCCCGGACGUGAUCCGGGGUCAGGGUGAAACGGUGGGGUAAGAGCCCACCGCACGCGUGGCAACACGGGUGGCACGGCAAGCCCCACCAGGAGCAAUGCCAAAUAGGGGCCCCGCGCGGGCAGGUGCCGCAAGGCAUACCGCCGCAAGGAUGCCUGAACCCGAGGGGCCCGGGUUGGCAGCUAGAGGGCGGUUGGCAACAGCCGCUCAAGAUGAAUGGUCAUCCAGUCGGGGAAACCCGAUGGACAGAAUCCGGCUUACAGGCCAUCCGCGCAU
This 394-nucleotide RNase P RNA is filed under the name Octadecabacter sp. SW4. RNAcentral's name for it is "Bacterial RNase P class A". It matches the Rfam family "Bacterial RNase P class A". From Rfam's summary of the family: Ribonuclease P (RNase P) is a ubiquitous endoribonuclease, found in archaea, bacteria and eukarya as well as chloroplasts and mitochondria. Lineage: Bacteria; Pseudomonadati; Pseudomonadota; Alphaproteobacteria; Rhodobacterales; Roseobacteraceae. The record is from Rfam by way of RNAcentral.